CCAGAGAGGACUCUUAACUCUUCCUCCUGCAAGACUCAGUCCCAAGGCCCAGGAAAGCCCCAGUUGCUAACUCUGAUUUGGCCCUUGUUGAGCUCUCCAUGGACAUGGUGGCCCCUGUGGACAGGGAGACAGGAGAGUGGAUUCUGCUCUCCCCCUUCUUCAGCAUCACGUUCCUCAUUCUCACUCUCUCAUCUUAUUAAUGGCGGCAAGAGUUGGGAAGAUGUCACAGCAUAUGGGGGCAGGAGGCAGGGGCUAUGCUUCAGACAGGCUAUUGCUGAAGACAACAUGAUAUAACAGAAUUGGAAGUGCUUUCACAAACAUUGUUUUAUGAACACAAGGUUCAUCCCCAUCUUGUGGAAUUGGAUUUCCACCAAGGGUUCCUGCUCCUCAUUUAGCGUGGAAGAAAGUGGAUUUUGCAAAUAACAUUCAUGAUGUUUUGGGCAGUAUCUACUCUGCCUGCAAGCUUAGGCUACAAAUGACAAAUGGCACACCAAAGUGAGGUGUGGUCGUGCAGACAGAAAAAGCAAGGGCCUCCUAAUGCCCAGGAAGCAAAAAGGAAAGAACGUCUCUUCGGUACCUCAUGACUUCCUGCUAGAGGCCUGAAGUCACUGGCACACUGGAGGAUUCUGUUAGUAUUCUCAUCAGGUAUGCUGUUUAUUAGACAGAUUAAGACUAAAAGAAAAUACACAAAAAUAGAAAGCUGCUUCUUUGAGAAUGAUGAGUAUGUUUUCAAAAACUUUAAAUUUUAAAUAUUUAUAGAUUCACAUGA
Homo sapiens (human) is the source of this 769-nucleotide long non-coding RNA. RefSeq lists it as uncharacterized. The record is from RefSeq and is a predicted model, not a curated record. The transcript is spliced from 4 exons. Lineage: Eukaryota; Metazoa; Chordata; Mammalia; Primates; Hominidae.